AGACCAAGUCUUACUGGAUUGAAGAGAUGUUUAAGUCAUGCCGGGCUGAUAAUGAGCAAACCCAAAAAACGAAAUGGCGAAAGAACUUGAUAAUGAGUGUCUCCAAAAUGGUGGAGUUUGGUGUAGGAUUGACUUAAGGGCUAUUUGAUCAAGAGGCUAGACAAAAGUUCGCCGAACCGGUACCGGAAUCCAUACUGAUCAGCGGGCAGGUCGGUAUAGCACCGAACUACGAUAUCAGUUCAAUACUACAUCGACACACGAUAUGCUUGGGUGUUCCGGUUACGAACUGGCAUGUUUCAAUUUUUUUUUAAGUUUUUCAAGUUUGAUUAAUUGGUAAUCAAUUUUUUUCAACUUUGUUAAUAAUUUUAAGUAUAAUUUGAUGUUUUUUGAUGUUUUUAUGAUCCCGGUAUAACCUAAAUGAUGCAUCUUGUUGUUUUAAAGUGAUACAAAAUAUAAAAUAAUUAGUGAGAUGUUGCAUGCUAUAAGAAGCAAUAUAAAAUAUCCUAAAGUCAACUAGUGAGGUGAAAAUUAUAAAAUAAUACAAUCAAUUAUAUAUAUUUAAAGUACAAUAUACAUACCAAUAUCUAAAAUCUCAUCGAGUGGCGAUGCCUCUCGUAGAUAUUCGAAUCAUUAGUAUAGUCAGGAGGCACAUCAGCCCACCCUUCUAAUCAAGAGGCGUUAGUCUUGUAUAUUCAUCCCAUAAGUAACACAUUUUGGUUAUAAGCACUUUUGGAUCUCUCGUUGAAGCUUUGAUUCUGAGAGGUGUUCAGCUGAUAAUACGACUGUGGAGGGGGCUAUCCGAAUAUGCUGGCAGCAAAAUUCGAUCCGUAAGAUGCUCCAGGCUGCGUAGGGUAGUAGUCAUCGAAAGAUGGUGCCUUAGAAACACUAUAUCUAUAUCCAUAUUUGUAUGGAUCAUAGGCUACCUCUAGCUGCGGAUAAUAGGAUCCAGUAUAUGAUUUGGAAUUUGAUAUAUCUAUGGACCCUACUCCAUGCGCAAGGUCAUCUGUAGCUGCAUCGUGUCUUCCUAAAUAACCUCGAGUAGCCCGUCUUCUAUAUGCAAUUGUAUUAUCGCGAGCUCUACCGGAUCAUGCACCGUGGUCCCUAUCCCUUGUAGCAUGCAUAAACUGGAACUCACUGGUAAAUCGAAGGCCACUCAAUAAAUGGUGGUCUCAUGUCCUUUACUUUCUUCUUGGUCAGCAGAUUAAUGACCACCAGAACUAUCAUUGCUGCUGCUUCUGGUCUUUAAAUGUAAGUGAACUGGCUC
This 1264-nucleotide long non-coding RNA is filed under the name Phoenix dactylifera (date palm). RNAcentral's name for it is "long non-coding RNA (PDAC_LNC015130)". The record is from RNAcentral. Lineage: Eukaryota; Viridiplantae; Streptophyta; Magnoliopsida; Arecales; Arecaceae.